GACGAACGCUGGCGGCGUGCUUAACACAUGCAAGUCGAACGGAAAGGCCCUGCUUUUGUGGGGUGCUCGAGUGGCGAACGGGUGAGUAACACGUGAGUAACCUGCCCUUGACUUUGGGAUAACUUCAGGAAACUGGGGCUAAUACCGGAUAGGAGCUCCUGCUGCAUGGUGGGGGUUGGAAAGUUUCGGCGGUGGGGGAUGGACUCGCGGCUUAUCAUCUGGUUGGUGGGGUAGUGGCUUACCAAGGCUUUGACGGGUAGCCGGCCUGAGAGGGUGACCGGCCACAUUGGGACUGCGAUACGGCCCAGAAUCCUACGGGAGGCAGCAGUGGGGAAUAUUGCACAAUGGGCGGAAGCCUGAUGCAGCAACGCCGCGUGCGGGAUGACGGCCUUCGGGUUGUAAAACGCUUUCGCCUGUGACGAAGCGUGAGUGACGGUAAUGGGUAAAGAAGCACCGGCUAACUACGUG
Molecule: ribosomal RNA, 468 nt
Filed under: uncultured bacterium
Lineage: Bacteria
Description: partial 16S ribosomal RNA
Rfam family: Bacterial small subunit ribosomal RNA
Source: RNAcentral